This 628-nucleotide ribosomal RNA is filed under the name arctic soil bacterium K2C2. RNAcentral describes it as "bacterial SSU rRNA". It matches the Rfam family "Bacterial small subunit ribosomal RNA", at positions 62 to 707 of the family's 1533-position model. The record is from RNAcentral.
UCGAACGAUGAAGCCUUUCGGGGUGGAUUAGUGGCGAACGGGUGAGUAACACGUGGGCAAUCUGCCCUUCACUCUGGGACAAGCCCUGGAAACGGGGUCUAAUACCGGAUAACACUCCUGCCUGCAUGGGCGGGGGUUAAAAGCUCCGGCGGUGAAGGAUGAGCCCGCGGCCUAUCAGCUUGUUGGUGGGGUAAUGGCCUACCAAGGCGACGACGGGUAGCCGGCCUGAGAGGGCGACCGGCCACACUGGGACUGAGACACGGCCCAGACUCCUACGGGAGGCAGCAGUGGGGAAUAUUGCACAAUGGGCGAAAGCCUGAUGCAGCGACGCCGCGUGAGGGAUGACGGCCUUCGGGUUGUAAACCUCUUUCAGCAGGGAAGAAGCGAGAGUGACGGUACCUGCAGAAGAAGCGCCGGCUAACUACGUGCCAGCAGCCGCGGUAAUACGUAGGGCGCAAGCGUUGUCCGGAAUUAUUGGGCGUAAAGAGCUCGUAGGCGGCUUGUCACGUCGGAUGUGAAAGCCCGGGGCUUAACCCCGGGUCUGCAUUCGAUACGGGCUANCUAAAGUGUGGUAGGGGAGAUCGGAAUUCCUGGUGUAGCGGUGAAAUGCGCAAAUAUCAGGAGGAAC